RNAcentral lists this ribosomal RNA (253 nucleotides) under uncultured bacterium. RNAcentral describes it as "partial 16S ribosomal RNA". It matches the Rfam family "Bacterial small subunit ribosomal RNA", at positions 524 to 776 of the family's 1533-position model. The record is from RNAcentral.
GACAGAGGGGGCAAGCGUUGCUCGGAAUUACUGGGCGUAAAGCGCACGUAGGCGGAUUGUUAAGUCAGGGGUGAAAUCCUGGAGCUCAACUCCAGAACUGCCUUUGAUACUGAAGAUCUUGAGUUCGGGAGAGGUGAGUGGAACUGCGAGUGUAGAGGUGAAAUUCGUAGAUAUUCGCAAGAACACCAGUGGCGAAGGCGGCUCACUGGCCCGAUACUGACGCUGAGGCACGAAAGCGUGGGGAGCAAACAGG